RNAcentral lists this ribosomal RNA (495 nucleotides) under uncultured bacterium. Its description in RNAcentral is "partial 16S ribosomal RNA". It matches the Rfam family "Bacterial small subunit ribosomal RNA", at positions 28 to 507 of the family's 1533-position model. The record is from RNAcentral.
GAUGAACGCUGGCGGCGUGCCUAAUACAUGCAAGUAGAACGCUGAAGGAGGAGCUUGCUCUUCUGGAUGAGUUGCGAACGGGUGAGUAACGCGUAGGUAACCUGCCUGGUAGCGGGGGAUAACUAUUGGAAACGAUAGCUAAUACCGCAUGACAACAGUUAUUGCAUGAUAACUGUUUAAAAGGGGCAACUGCUCCACUACCAGAUGGACCUGCGUUGUAUUAGCUAGUUGGUGAGGUAACGGCUCACCAAGGCGACGAUACAUAGCCGACCUGAGAGGGUGAGCGGCCACACUGGGACUGAGACACGGCCCAGACUCCUACGGGAGGCAGCAGUAGGGAAUCGUCGGCAAUAGACGGAAGUCUGACCGAGCAACGCCGCGGGAGUGAAGAAGGUUUUCGGAUCGUAAAGCUCUGUUGUAAGAGAAGAACGAGUGUGAGAGUGGAAAGUUCACACUGUGACGGUAUCUUACCAGAAAGGGACGGCUAACUACGUG